CUCGGCGUAGCGCAGUGGGUAGCGCGCGUGCUUUGGGAGCAUGAGGUCGUCCGUUCGAGCCGGACCGCCGAGA
Molecule: transfer RNA, 73 nt
Filed under: Caldimonas brevitalea
Lineage: Bacteria; Pseudomonadati; Pseudomonadota; Betaproteobacteria; Burkholderiales; Sphaerotilaceae
Description: [Polyangium] brachysporum tRNA
Rfam family: tRNA
About the family: Transfer RNA (tRNA) molecules are approximately 80 nucleotides in length. Their secondary structure includes four short double-helical elements and three loops (D, anti-codon, and T loops). Further hydrogen bonds mediate the characteristic L-shaped molecular structure. tRNAs have two regions of fundamental functional importance: the anti-codon, which is responsible for specific mRNA codon recognition, and the 3' end, to which the tRNAs corresponding amino acid is attached (by aminoacyl-tRNA synthetases). tRNAs cope with the degeneracy of the genetic code in two manners: having more than one tRNA (with a specific anti-codon) for a particular amino acid; and 'wobble' base-pairing, i.e. permitting non-standard base-pairing at the 3rd anti-codon position.
Source: Rfam by way of RNAcentral